Non-coding RNA from Sarcophilus harrisii (Tasmanian devil), 73 nucleotides. The record is from Ensembl. Lineage: Eukaryota; Metazoa; Chordata; Mammalia; Dasyuromorphia; Dasyuridae.
UUAAGAUGGCAGAGCCGGUAAUUGCAUAAAGCUUAAGCCUUUACUCCCAGAGGUUCAAACCCUCUUCUUAAUA